Molecule: transfer RNA, 78 nt
Filed under: Salmonella enterica subsp. enterica
Lineage: Bacteria; Pseudomonadati; Pseudomonadota; Gammaproteobacteria; Enterobacterales; Enterobacteriaceae
Description: tRNA-Met
Rfam family: tRNA
About the family: Transfer RNA (tRNA) molecules are approximately 80 nucleotides in length. Their secondary structure includes four short double-helical elements and three loops (D, anti-codon, and T loops).
Source: RNAcentral
GGCUGCGUAGCUCAGUUGGUUAGAGCGCAUCACUCAUAAUGAUGGGGUCACGGGUUUCGAAUCCCGUCGUAGCCACCA